CACUGCAUCCACUGCAUGGGCACUGCAUUCAACUUAAGGGACACAGAAGUUGGCACUGCAACCCCUGCAGGUUAGCUGCUUCCUGCUGAUGUGGAAAUGCAGGUGCACUGCAAUCACUGCAGGAUCACUGCAUCUGCCUCAUGGGCACUGCAACCUCCCUGACCACAUACAUCAUCACUGCAUGAGCACUCAAUCCACAUUCAGGGACACUGCAUCCAGAUGAACUGACACUGCAGGUGCACUGCAAUGAAUGCAGGAUCACUGCAUCCUCCUUCAUGGGUACUGCAUCCUACAUCACAAAAUACUGCAUCCACCUUGGGUCACACUGCAGAGGCUUCAUGGUCCCUGCAUACACAUUCAGAGACACUGCAGUGGGCUCUGCAACCACUGCAGGGGCACUGUAUGCAGCUGAAGUCACACUGCAUGUGCACCGCAAUCACUGAAUGUUCACAGUGUCCACUUCAUGUUCACUGCAACCACCCUCAUGGGCACUGCAUCCUCUGUCACAACAUACUGCAUCCAUCUUGUGUGACACUGCAUCCAAAGCCUGGGCACUGCAUCCGCAUUCCCGAAUAAUGCAGGCAGCACUGCAAACACUGCAGGAUCACUGCAUCUGUCUUCACGGGCACUGCAUCCUCCAUCACAACAUACUUCAUCACUGCAUGAGCACUGCAUCCAAACUCAGGGACAGUGAAGGCUGCACUGCAGCGACUGCAGGGACACUGCAACCUGCUGAAGUGGCACUGCAUGUGCACUGCAGCCACAGCAGGAUCACGGCAUCCACAUUCAUGGGUACUGCAUCAUCUGUCACAACACACCACAUCCAUCUUUGGUACUCUGCAUGAACAGCAUGGUCACUGCAUUCGAAAUCAGAGACACAGAAGGGGCACUGCAAACACUGCAGGCACACUGCGGCCGGCAGAAGUGGCACUGGAGGUGCUCUGCAAUCACUGCAGAAUCUCUGCACCCUCCUUCAUGGGCAAAGCAUUAUCCGUCAUAACAUACAGCAUCCACCUUGUGGGGCACUGAAUCCACUGCAAGGGCAUGGCAUUCUCAUUGAGGGACCCUGCAGAGGGCACUGCAACCACUGCAGGAACACUGCAUCCACCUUCAUGGGCGCUGCUUCCUCCAACACAACAUACUUCAUAUACAUUCAGUGACACUGCAGCCAUCGCAUGGGCACUGCAGCCAUGUUCAGGGACAGGCACUCCAACCACUGCAGGGACACUGGAUCCACAUGAAGUGGCUCUGCAGAUGCACUGAAAUCACUGCUGGAUCACUGCAUCUGCCUUCACGGGCACUGCAUCCUCUAUCACAACAUACAUCAUCACUGCAUGAGCACUGAAUCCACAUUAGGGACACUGCAUCCAGAUGAAUUGACACUGUAGGUGCACUGCAAUCAAUGCAGUCUCACUGCAUCCACCUUCGUGGGUACUGCAUGCACUGCAUGGGCACCGCAUCCACAUUCAAGGAAACUGUAGGGAACACUGCACC
Molecule: long non-coding RNA, 1494 nt
Filed under: Equus caballus (horse)
Lineage: Eukaryota; Metazoa; Chordata; Mammalia; Perissodactyla; Equidae
Description: lncRNA (ENSECAG00000053634.1)
Source: RNAcentral